AUGCAAGUCGAGCGGGGGAAGGUAGCUUGCUACCGGACCUAGCGGCGGACGGGUGAGUAAUGCUUAGGAAUCUGCCUAUUAGUGGGGGACAACAUCUCGAAAGGGAUGCUAAUACCGCAUACGUCCUACGGGAGAAAGCAGGGGAUCUUCGGACCUUGCGCUAAUAGAUGAGCCUAAGUCGGAUUAGCUAGUUGGUGGGGUAAAGGCCUACCAAGGCGACGAUCUGUAGCGGGUCUGAGAGGAUGAUCCGCCACACUGGGACUGAGACACGGCCCAGACUCCUACGGGAGGCAGCAGUGGGGAAUAUUGGACAAUGGGGGGAACCCUGAUCCAGCCAUGCCGCGUGUGUGAAGAAGGCCUUAUGGUUGUAAAGCACUUUAAGCGAGGAGGAGGCUACUUUAGUUAAUACCUAGAGAUAGUGGACGUUACUCGCAGAAUAAGCACCGGCUAACUCUGUGCCAGCAGCCGCGGUAAUACAGAGGGUGCGAGCGUUAAUCGGAUUUACUGGGCGUAAAGCGUGCGUAGGCGGCUUAUUAAGUCGGAUGUGAAAUCCCCGAGCUUAACUUGGGAAUUGCAUUCGAUACUGGUGAGCUAGAGUAUGGGAGAGGAUGGUAGAAUUCCAGGUGUAGCGGUGAAAUGCGUAGAGAUCUGGAGGAAUACCGAUGGCGAACGCAGCCAUCUGGCCUAAUACUGACGCUGAGUACGAAAGCAUGGGGAGCAA
This 721-nucleotide ribosomal RNA is filed under the name Acinetobacter baumannii OIFC109. Its description in RNAcentral is "bacterial SSU rRNA". It matches the Rfam family "Bacterial small subunit ribosomal RNA", at positions 55 to 771 of the family's 1533-position model. The record is from RNAcentral. Lineage: Bacteria; Pseudomonadati; Pseudomonadota; Gammaproteobacteria; Moraxellales; Moraxellaceae.